CCUCCAUUUUAUCCCCUUCCUUUCUUCGCUGUCUCUUUCUCUCCAUCGCUAACCCAUUGUUGUUGUGUUACUUCUACACCCUAUUCCCCUCUGUGUUGCUUCUUCUACCUUUUAUUGGCUUCAGAUAUUCACUAUCGCUCUCUUUUGGGGAUUUCUGUAGCUCCGCCACGGGUAAGUUUCAGGGGAAAUCAUGGCAGGAGAACAACUGAAUGUGCUUAAUGCACUUGACGUGGCCAAAACACAAUGGUACCAUUUCACUGCAAUUGUGAUUGCUGGCAUGGGUUUUUUCACUGAUGCCUAUGAUCUUUUUUGUAUCUCCCUUGUGACCAAAUUGCUAGGCAGAAUUUACUACUACAAGGAAGGUUCUACUUCUCCUGGAUCUUUACCAUCAAAUGUCUCAGCUGCUGUUAAUGGUGUUGCUUUCUGCGGCACCCUUGCAGGCCAGCUUUUCUUUGGCUGGCUUGGUGAUAAAAUGGGCAGAAAACGUGUCUAUGGGAUGACAUUAAUGCUUAUGGUCAUUUCCGCUAUUGCCUCAGGCCUCUCUUUUGGCAAAGCUCCUACUGCUGUCAUGUCCACACUCUGUUUCUUCCGUUUCUGGCUCGGUUUUGGGAUCGGUGGUGACUACCCACUUUCUGCCACAAUCAUGUCUGAAUAUGCUAAUAAAAAGACUCGUGGGGCUUUCAUUGCUGCUGUUUUUGCCAUGCAAGGUUUUGGGAUCUUGGCUGGUGGUAUGGUUGCUAUUAUAGUUUCUGGAGCAUUUAAGGUCAAAUAUCCUGCCCAACCUUAUGAAAAUGAUCCAGUUGGCUCUACUGUACCAGAAGCUGAUUAUGUUUGGAGGAUUAUCUUGAUGUUUGGUGCAAUCCCUGCAGCAGUUACUUAUUACUGGCGCAUGAAGAUGCCUGAAACUGCACGUUACACAGCCCUCGUUGCUAAGAAUGCCAAACAAGCCGCUGCAGAUAUGUCUAAGGUGUUACAUGUUGAUCUUGAAGCAGAGGAGGAGAAGGUAGGGAGGUUAGCUGCAAAGCAAUCCAAUUCGUUUGGCUUGUUCUCUAAGGAAUUCGCCAAGCGCCAUGGUCUUCACUUGUUAGGAACCACCACUACAUGGUUCCUGCUGGAUAUUGCUUUCUACAGCCAAAACCUUUUCCAGAAAGAUAUCUUCACUGCAAUCAAUUGGAUUCCCAAAGCACAAGAAAUGAAUGCAGUUCAUGAGGUUUAUCGGAUUGCAAGGGCUCAAACACUUAUUGCACUGUGCAGUACCGUGCCAGGAUAUUGGUUUACAGUGUUGUUUAUCGACCAUAUGGGAAGAUUUGCCAUUCAAUUGAUGGGUUUCUUCUUCAUGACAGUGUUCAUGUUCGCACUCGCUAUCCCAUACCAUCACUGGACCUUGAAGCCUAACAGAAUUGGUUUUGUAAUAAUGUACUCACUGACCUUCUUCUUUGCCAAUUUUGGACCCAAUGCCACUACAUUUGUUGUCCCAGCAGAGAUUUUCCCAGCAAGGCUAAGAUCAACUUGCCACGGUAUAUCUGCAGCAGCAGGAAAGGCAGGUGCUAUAGUGGGUGCAUUUGGUUUCUUAUAUGCUGCCCAAAGCCAAGAUAAAACCAAGACUGAUGCAGGUUACCCUCCUGGUAUUGGAGUGAAGAACUCUUUAAUUGCUCUUGGUGUUAUCAAUUUCUUUGGAAUGUUGUUUACUCUGUUGGUGCCCGAAUCAAAGGGUAAAUCUCUGGAAGAAUUGACAGGUGAGAAUGAAGAAAAUGUUGAGGAGAUAAAGGGUGCUGCUGCUGCUGCUAGGACAGUUCCGGUGUGACUUUGACCCACUUCACCAAAUGAUCUUUUUAAGUAACAAGCUUUCUGAUACUUAUUGUAUGGGUUUAAUAAGUAUUCUGCUUUUGUGAAAUGCAACCAAUAUGUAGAUAUAUACUGUAUUAUACACUGUAUCUUGAAGGCUUUCUUAGAAUUGCAACGAUACCGUGUGUUCAGAUUUUGAUUAAUUGAUGGCGAUAUGUUAUCUGAAAGGAUUUGAUUAAGCUU
Molecule: unclassified non-coding RNA, 2028 nt
Filed under: Hevea brasiliensis (rubber tree)
Lineage: Eukaryota; Viridiplantae; Streptophyta; Magnoliopsida; Malpighiales; Euphorbiaceae
Source: RNAcentral